RNAcentral lists this non-coding RNA (217 nucleotides) under Phaeovulum vinaykumarii. Lineage: Bacteria; Pseudomonadati; Pseudomonadota; Alphaproteobacteria; Rhodobacterales; Paracoccaceae. The record is from RNAcentral.
UGCUACCGAUUUCGGGAUGGUUCCCGAAGGGGCUUGCCCCCCCAGGGAUGAAAAGGGAACGCGGUGCGGUGCCGGACAGGCGCCAAAUCCGCGACUGCCCCCGCAACUGUAGGCGGAUAGCACGCGCGAAAGGCUCCACUGAUCCGGAUCGGGUCGGGAAGGAUCGCGCCAGCCAUGACCCGCAAGUCAGGAGACCUGCCAUCAUCCGAUAGACCCU